GAAAUAAGAUAUAUCAAAAUUAAGCUUCUAACUUAAAUUUUUAGUGGUUAAAAUCCAUUAUUAUUUCU
RNAcentral lists this transfer RNA (68 nucleotides) under Ochthebius griotes. RNAcentral's name for it is "tRNA-Ser". The record is from RNAcentral. Lineage: Eukaryota; Metazoa; Arthropoda; Insecta; Coleoptera; Hydraenidae.